This is a non-coding RNA of Camellia sinensis, 5727 nucleotides long. Lineage: Eukaryota; Viridiplantae; Streptophyta; Magnoliopsida; Ericales; Theaceae. The record is from RefSeq and is a predicted model, not a curated record.
ACCUAAAAAAUAAGUAAAAUGGAAUUACACUCACAUAAAUCCAAAAAAUAAUGUUAAAUGACUUUGAAAAGCCUAAAUCAAACAUCAACAAAUUAUUUUGAUUUGAAAAUCGUAAAUCGAAAAAUCAAAAAAGAACAAUAAAGAAAAUAUUGAGUACUGGAGUAAAAAACUAAAAAUCAAUUUUCAGACUGAAAUUAAAAACUAAUCUAGAAUUAAAAACUAAAAAUCGAACAGUACUAGAGUAGUAUAGAACCACAACAUACCUUGUGUUCUUGUUAGUGCGAGAUUCGGGAUUGUUGAACUCGAUUUUAGAGAGAAGAACAGGUCUGGUUCUGUUCUCUCAUGUUUUGGAAGUUGUGUUGUGUGACUUCACUUCCGCUGAAAAGGAGAGAGAGAGAAGAAGUCAUCUUUUGGUUUUGCAGAGAGAGAAAGAGAUGGAAGAGGAACCAUUUUUUUGGUUUUGGAGACAGAGAGAGAGGGAGGAGAGAGAGAGAGAGAGGAAAUAGUUUUGUUUUUUUGGUUCUGCAGAGUUUUCAACUGUUGGGAAGUUGUGUGACUUUUUAUUGUUAAUGAUAGAGUCAGGUGAGAAAAUCUCAGCGUGAGAGAUUACAUUGGGAAUCCAAACAUUUGUAAUAUUUUAUGUAUAUAUAGCGGUUUGGAUCGGGUUAUACGAUUUCGAUAGGCACAAAUUUGAUGACCAAACCAUAAUCCGUAAAAUCUAUAUUAUUUAGUCCACAGCUGACCGUAAUUGUAUGCAAAACCGUCCACGUGGCCUUUGGAUCGGGCGGGCCGUUCGGUUGGAUAGGGUAGUGCGGUUCCAUGCACACCCCUAAAUUCAAUGGGAACUUCAUUUUUCUUGUGAAGAGCAAAAUGUUUAGUUGCAUUCACCUCAUUUUCUUUGACUUUCUUGGCUUUCGAACCUUGAUCAUGACAAUCUUUCAUGCUUUCUUUAGUAAGCAAAUUAAUUUUUGCCUUUGUUUCUUCAAUAUCCUCAAUGUUAGCCUCUUUCAUAGUUUUUUCAAAAUCUUUUACACUAUCAACCUUUUGCUCCUGGAUAUUAGUCUUCUGUAAAACAACAGCCACAAGUCCUUCCAUAGAUGCUCUCAAUCCAUUGAAAGUUAUUGAUAGUAUGCACAUCACUCUUUAUUGUUACAACAUCCUCCUUAAUUAUUGCGAAAUCCUUCUUUAACAUCGAAACAUCUUUCUUAGGAGCUCUAUAAUUUGUUAAUGAGGCUUCAAACUUUCAAUUUAAUUCAAUACUUUUCAACAUUGUAAUAAAGAAAGAAAUUUCAUCGAAAGAUUGGUAACGAACAAGGUAGGAUCUUGAAGCUCUGAUACCAAACUGAUGUAGGACGAGUAGGGAUUACUUUCCUACAAGUAGUGAGCCCGGGUUAAGUAUACUGGCAGCAACAAUAGUAGACUUUCACGGCUGGAUUUGGUGGGAUUUUAUGACUGUAGAAGUAUUUAAAAAAUAGGAGUUUAAGGAUUUAUAAAAGGGGUAGGAUUGUGGGAAUGAAAACACAAGUGUUUAGGGUCAGUUGGGUGGUUGUUCUAAGAACUGUGAACAGUGGCUUAAACAGUAACCUUGCUGGAUAGAAGUAGAAGAAGAAGAAGAAGAGAGAGAGAGAGAAGUGCCUCACCCUCACAAGGGAUGGACCAAUCACACAAACACAAUCUCAAAUUUUCAUAAUAUUAACUCUGCCCGAGUCAUUAAGAUUACAAAUCUAUUUAUAGGUUAAAGACUCGCCUAAUUCUAUCAGGACUAUAACUCAAAUUUAGAAACUAAAAAUAUUUAACAACUACUAAUAUUCUAGACCAAUUAUGACUUCCAAUUCUAUUUCAAUCUUAAGAAGAAACUUUAAUGACUUCUAAUUCUACUUCAAUAUCAAAAUAACAAUAAAACCCAUAUAUAAUAACCCAUUUAAUAACUUGACCCAAAAUAAAACCCAUGGGCAACCUUACAACCCAUGUCUAGCAAAACUGAAAUUACCAUAAUAUCUUUAACUACUAAAACCUACUAUAAUGACAUGAAGACUCAAAAUAAUUCCAAAUUUUUAAUUCUUGAUGCCCUGAAUGUGCUUCAUAUGAAAUUCCAGAUUUCUUUUUUUCUUCUUUCCAUGAUCCUCAUCAUCAAUAUAUAUACAUGAUUUGUUGUUCUUUUGGAGAUCCGGGAGGUUUUAAUAGGAUCCAAUCAGAUUGAGUCAAACCCAACAUGUUUUUAAUAUUUUCUUCUCAUUUUGUUUUCUUAAAAAGAAAUCAUAAUGUAUAUUUUAAAGAUGUUUAUGAUUAAAGUCACUUGAAAUAUAAAUUAUCUAUUGCUAUUAUAUUGAAAGAAAUAUACUUCAAUAUUACAUGGAUGAGGUCUAUUAAACCUAAUGGUUCUACAAGUUCUUUAGUAUUGGCUCAUUGUUACUUGUAAAUGUAUAUAUGCUUAUGAAAUAUCAGCAUCGUUGUUACGUUAUUGUUACUUGAAAAUUGAGAAUUUGUCUUUGUUUACUUUCUUUAUUAAGAAUGAUUGAGAAGCAAUAUUUAUAAAAAGAAAAAGAUAAGAUAGUGAUCUUACAUAGGAACUAUUGUUAAUGUCUUACCUACUAGACCAUGUAAUCAUUAUUCAAAAUAACAUUUUCAUUUAUUUGAGUCUAAAUAUUUUAUAUUUAUAAGAUAUAUUUAACAAUCAAGUGUGUAGAUAUAUUUUUCUAAGUAAUUUAGAAAAGGUGACCGAAUCUUUAUGGUACACAAUUCGAUUCGAUUCGAGAUUCGAUACAAGGCCAUUUCGAUUCAUGAUUCAAUUUACGAUUUGACGACUAUGAUGGUGAAUACAAUAGAGAACAUGAAGAAUGUUUAUAUCUUUUCCCCUACUCCAAGUUGCUCAACAUCGUCUUAAAAAAAAAGAAAGGCAAGUAGAACAUGUGUUGAGGUGAUAAGGAAGGGUGAUUUCCAUGAACUUAACUGAUGAUAUGACUUUAAAUAGUGCCAACUAGUGGAAAUUGAUUCAUGUAGCUAACCCCAAGUAAUUGGAACAAAGGCUUGUUGAGUUGAGCUGGAGUUGGUAUGACUUCUGACAUGACCUAACUUUUUUUUUUUUAAUCAGCAAAAUGAAUCUUUGUUGAUAAGAAUCAAGGAUAACCUUACAUCAUACAUCAAUAAAGAGGAUACAAAGAUCAAACGGUAGUGCUAUAAGCAUAACAGCAUAAUCAAGUUAUCCCAACUAGGUUGGCACAACCGAACAUGUCCAAUCAUUUGCAGAACCAACCGAAAACGAAGGUUGAGGAGAAAUCAAUCAAGAGAUAGAAAACAACUAGUAACAGGGCUGAAACAAAUAAUAGAAAACAACUAGAAAACUUCAACUGAUGCACAACUCACAGAAGGAUCACAAACCAUGCACCUGCUAUCUUCUAUGAAAACACCUCUGCCUCUAAUGGAAUAUAGGUUGUGCACCAACUCAUUAAGAAGCACCGACAUGGACACAUGACACAGAUACUUUUAGAAUAGGAAAUUAUAUUCAUAUAUUUUAUUCUAAUUGGAUGUAAUGGGCUGUAAUGAGCUGGUCCAUAAUUUAUGCCUUAUGGUACUUUUAUAAUUAUGCUUUAUUCUUAAUAUAAAAGGGGAUGAGGUUUCUCUCAUUCUCUAUCUCUAUCUCUAUCUCUAUCUCGUUCUCUUCUUUAAAUUUACAUAGUAUCAGAGCCCAAACCCUAGCCUAACUCUCGUUACCCUUCUGUCAUCCCUCUCUAGCACCACUGUUGGCAGUCCUUUCUUCCCUCCAGAAGUCCAGUUGGCCACUGUAGACCCUUCAAUGGCCACUGUGGACCCUCACCCAGCCCAAACUGAACCUCUAACAGCCUUACCCAGGCCUUCGGCCGUGCGCCUGGGCUCCCCGACAACCUAUUCGGCUUAGUCGGCAGCCCCUCUGGUCUUUUAGGGGCCUAUUGGCAGCUCCUCUGGCUCUCUUGGCCCCUGUUGGCUUUUCUCUUCCCUUCUAGGCCUCUGUCAACCAACCUCCAGAUAGGUUUCUUCUGUCUCCUGUAAUGUUUUCACCCUGGACAUCGUGGUAGUUGUGUCUUUCCUAACACUAUUAUCUUCCGGGUUUGUAAUUGGCAUUGUGUUUGAGAGUUACAUAGUAGAGUAUCUAUGGCAGAUUCCCUUAGUAAGUCCACUACUUCUCAACCAUCUAAGAGAGAAUCUAUGGCAGAUUCCUUCCACUAUGUCUGAUACCCUUAACCUGAGACUUAAGAUCACCACCUCUCUAUUCAAUGAUCAGAAUUAUCUAGCCUAGUCGCAAAGUCUGACUAUUUUUUUGAAGAGCAAAGGGAAGAUGUGAUAUGUUGAUGGAAGGAUACAUACAUUCAGUAUCACGGAUCCUAGUUAUGACUAAUUGGAAAUCACCAACUCCCUAAUUAUGGGUUGGUUGAUGCAUUCUAUGGUACCUGAGAUUGGCGAGGGCGGCUUGUCUAUAGACACUGCCCAGGAUAUUUGAGAGGCUAUAGCUACUACUUACUCCAGGAAGGGAAACUCCUUACAGGCUUUCGAGUUACAUCGCUCCAUUGAAAGGUCGGUCCAAGGUGAGCAGACUAUCCUCCAGUAUUUUACAUUCCUUAGAAAUGGGUGGAAGCAGCUUGAUCACCUUCAGGAUUACAAACCGGUCUGUCCCACUGAUUCUGUUGGUUAGCAGAAAUUUGUGGCGCAAGAGCAUGUCUUCAAGUUCUUGGAAGGCCUUAAUGUGGAGUAUGAUCCGGCUCGAAGCAGAGUACUUGGCUUGGAUGUGCUUCCUUCUCUCCAGGAAGCCUUUGCUUUUGUGUAGAAUGAGGAGAGUCACCGCUCUGCAAUGCUUCCUUCUGCUACUACUGAUUGCUCGGCCUUGGUUUUUGCACCCCCUCGUGAUGGAGACCGUGUGCCUUGUGGUUCUCGUCCUUCUUCUGAGAAGGAUAAUAUUUUCUGUGACUACUGCCAUAGAGCCCAACACACACGAGAGACGUGGCAGAAGCUACAUGGGACUCCUUCUGGUGGCCGAGGAUACCGUCCUAGUCCUCCAGGGGGUAGGUCUGGUCAGACUAGAGGUCGAGGGGUUAAUGCUUGGGUACAUCUUGCAAACACAGUUGAGCAACCAUCUUCAUCUCCCAUUGUCUUCUUUGCUACUGAUGUUUUGGGGUUAUUUUCCUCGGAUUUUGAGAUUGCUCUUUGCCACUUGCUAGACCGUCGAGCCUCCAUUUCUGCUACAGGUGCACCCUCUUCUUUUUUUGCCAAUUCAGGUAGCUUGGCUUCCUCCACAUGUGCAUUGCUAUCUCAUAUGACUGUACCAUGGAUUAUUGAUUUUGGUGCUUCCAACCAUAUGUCUGGCUGCUCUAAUUUAUUCUCAGAGUAUAAACCCUCCUCAGGUUAGGAAAACGUGCGUGUUGCUGAUGGUACUAUUUCCUCUGUGUCAGGGAAAGAACCUUAUCACAAGGAAGAGGAUUGGCAGUGGUAGAGAGGAACAUGGUCUCUACAUUCUGGAUCAGACAGACAAGCUGACUCAUUCUUCUAUUCAGUUACCAUCCACCAAGGAAGACUUUGGCUGUGGCACCAUCGCUUAUGACAUCCUUCUUUUUUGUUACUUAAGCAUUUAUUUCCUUUUGUUUUUGAGAAAAAUAAUGUGUCAAAUUUUCAACGUGAUUCUUGUCAAUUUGGAAAACAUCACAUAGCCUCUUUUGCUCCUUCUAUUAAUAAAAGUUCAGUUCCAUUUUCUUUGAUUCA